AAUCAAUUUUAAAAACUAUUAAAAGAAAAAGAAACACAACUCUAAAGAAAUACGAUUUAGUUCUUAUGUGGCUUAUAAUUGUCUGAGCCAAUACCAAAUUAUUUUGAGCAGGACAAUGGCAGAAUCUUGAGAAUAAAUGUACAUAGCCUCACAAGCUGACUUGCAAGGACUAUCUCCAUUUAGAGCUAUCCUUUCUGUUUAUUUUUAAAAUCAGUAUAUUUAUAAUGACACCUCAAAUUUAAAGUAAAUAAAAAUAAAUUUUGUAAUUGACUUUCCCCCUUCAAAAUAAGUUAAAAUUCAUGUCUGGAACCAUAAUUAGUAUUUUUGCAUAAUAGCUUAAAAAGAAAUUGUUUUAAAAUUAACUUGCCAAAAAUAUCAGCUCUUGAAACAUAUUUUUUCAAGUGUCCUGAAACUCUCUCUCAGCCUUUAUGACCCAGAAGCAUUACACCGGUGUGAGGCCCCACAGCUGUGCCCUCUCCGGGCUCAGUAGCACCUUAACAGUGACGGAGGCGCAGUGUCCAGGGGUCGAAGUGGGGUCUGGGUGGUGGGAAACGGGCUACCGAGAAGAAAAGCAGGGCCUCCCGGCCUCCCCAGCCUCUUCCCACUGGGGGCAAGGCUUCGAUCUAAGGAACCUAAAGCUUGCAGACGUUUGCGAUUUCCCUCCAAAAUUUACUUUCCAUGUUUCAGAAAUGUUUGUACCCUUUGUAACCCUGUGGUGUUUACUUUCACGUGGCUUUUUCAAAAAUCACUUUAAUGAGCUCUGUCACCCUCUAUGAAUGAUAUAGGGGAAAUACUGAAUUGCUUCUAUUUCCUUUUUUGGCAAUAAAUCACCGUUGUAUAUAGAUGUGAGUGAAAGAGGGGUAGAGACUACGCAUAACAGUUUGUGUGUAGUGUAUGUUGACACCUCUAAGCUAUUUCGAAACAUGAGGCAAUAGACGAGGACCUCCGAUCCCCAGGGAAAUAUUUAUUUGACGGCACUGAGAGUGUAGCUCUUAGUAACAGAAUCUCCUUCUGCUGAGAAUUGUGGCUUUUCAGGAGGUUUUUAUUUUGAGAACUGUAUUUUCUCUGUGAGGUUUACAGAAACUAGUCGCUCCUUUUCACCACGUGGCAAGGACAGUCUGAGCCUUCGCUGUUUAGAUUUCAGUGUUAACACCUUCACGGAGGAGAAUGGAGUCUUCAGCUCCUCUCAACUGUUUAUAAAGUGAAUCCUGUUUCCAAGUCAUCUGCGGCUUUCGAAAUCCCUGUUUCUUAUUCUUCAUUCCAAACACCACAUCUUGACAGAGAGGCAUGGUAAGGAGUUCCUGUUGUCAAUCAACGGGAGGUGUUUAACACAUGGAAAAAGUCCUCUAUGUUACACUGGAACCAUGUAUAAAUGUACCUGUGUAUGUUGUUAACAAAUGAGCCUUUCUGCAUUUAAGUUAUAUUGUUUUUCCUUGUAUUAUUAAUGCAUCAGAACUGGAUUUUUUUUCCCCCCUCAUCUGAACAUAAUAUAAAAUUUGAACAGUAUUGUGAUAUCAAGCACUUUAGCAUACAUAUCAGAGAAACUGACGUGGGUUUUUCAGGUUUUGGAGUACAUUUAAAUAUGACUUUUCAUGCUUUGUUCUUUACAAAUAAAACUGUGGGAUUGA
Long non-coding RNA from Eptesicus fuscus (big brown bat), 1628 nucleotides. RefSeq lists it as uncharacterized. Lineage: Eukaryota; Metazoa; Chordata; Mammalia; Chiroptera; Vespertilionidae. The record is from RefSeq and is a predicted model, not a curated record. The transcript has 2 exons.